GACGAACGCUGGCGGCGUGCCUAAUACAUGCCAGUAGAACGCUGAAGCGAGGAGCUUGCUCUUCUUGGAUGAGUUGCGAACGGGUGAGUAACGCGUAGGUAACCUGCCUGGUAGCGGGGGAUAACUAUUGGAAACGAUAGCUAAUACCGCAUAAAAUUGAUUAUUGCAUGAUAAUUAAUUGAAAGAUGCAACUGCAUCACUACCAGAUGGACCUGCGUUGUAUUAGCUAGUUGGUGAGGUAACGGCUCACCAAGGCGACGAUACAUAGCCGACCUGAGAGGGUGAUCGGCCACACUGGGACUGAGACACGGCCCAGACUCCUACGGGAGGCAGCAGUAGGGAAUCUUCGGCAAUGGGGGGAACCCUGACCGAGCAACGCCGCGUGAGUGAAGAAGGUUUUCGAAUCGUAAAGCUCUGUCGUAAGAGAAGAACGGGUGUGAGAGUGGAAAGUUCACACUGUGACGGUAUCUUACCAGAAAGGGACGGCUAACUACGUG
This 497-nucleotide ribosomal RNA is filed under the name uncultured bacterium. Its description in RNAcentral is "partial 16S ribosomal RNA". It matches the Rfam family "Bacterial small subunit ribosomal RNA", at positions 28 to 507 of the family's 1533-position model. The record is from RNAcentral.